GCUUUGACAGAGUUUUCCAGUGCCUCAAAACGAUUGUAGUUGCGAGGAUAAUAGGGAAUCAGGUGAGAGUCCUGAGCGAUCCGGUCACUGUAAGCAGGGAGUGAUGUCAUAUGCCGGAGAUUUUCGAAGGUAGCCAUUGCGUGGGAGAUCCAUGUGAGAAGGUUUGGCAAAGCGUUGAUCUGUAAGUCAGAAAACCUGCUGGGAGAGUUGGUGAAGA
Molecule: non-coding RNA, 217 nt
Filed under: Blautia sp.
Lineage: Bacteria; Bacillati; Bacillota; Clostridia; Lachnospirales; Lachnospiraceae
Source: RNAcentral